CCUACGGGAGGCAGCAGUGAGGAAUAUUGGUCAAUGGCCGGAAGGCUGAACCAGCCAUGCCGCGUGAAGGUCAGUGCCCUAUGGGCGUUAAACUUCUUUUGUGCGGGAGCAAUACUGGUCACGUGUGGCCCGACGUGAGUACCGUACGAAUAAGCAUCGGCUAACUCCGUGCCAGCAGCCGCGGUAAUACGGGGGAUGCACGCGUUAUCCGGGUUUAUUGGGGUUAAAGGGUGCGUAGGCUGUGAGGUAAGUCAGCGGUGAAAUGCCCCCGCUCAACGGGGUGAAGUGCCAUUGAUACUGCCUUGCUGGAAUGCGGAUGCCGUGGGAGGAAUGUGUGGUGUAGCGGUGAAAUGCAUAGAUAUCACACAGAACACCGAUUGCGAAGGCAUCUCACGAAUCCGCGAUUGACGCUGAUGCACGAAAGCGUGGGUAUCAAACAGGAUUAGAUACCCUGGUAGUC
RNAcentral lists this ribosomal RNA (460 nucleotides) under uncultured bacterium. RNAcentral describes it as "partial 16S ribosomal RNA". It matches the Rfam family "Bacterial small subunit ribosomal RNA", at positions 338 to 795 of the family's 1533-position model. The record is from RNAcentral.